UAACACGUGGGAACCUUCCCUAUAGUACGGAAUAGCCCAUGGAAACUUGGAGUAAUACCGUAUACGCCCGAAAGGGGAAAGAUUUAUCGCUAUAGGAUGGGCCCGCGUAGGAUUAACUAGUUGGUGAGGUAAUGGCUCACCAAGGCGACGAUCCUUAGCUGGUUUGAGAGAACGACCACCCACACUGGGACUGAGACACGGCCCAGACUCCUACGGGAGGCAACAGUGGGGAAUAUUGGACAAUGGGCGCAAGCCUGAUCCAGCCAUGCCGCGUGAGUGAUGAAGGCCUUAGGGUUGUAAAGCUCUUUUGCCGGGGACGAUAAUGACGGUACCCGGAGAAUAAGUCCCGGCUAACUUCGUGCCAGCAGCCGGGGUAAUAC
RNAcentral lists this ribosomal RNA (380 nucleotides) under uncultured Hyphomicrobium sp. Its description in RNAcentral is "bacterial SSU rRNA". It matches the Rfam family "Bacterial small subunit ribosomal RNA", at positions 111 to 526 of the family's 1533-position model. Lineage: Bacteria; Pseudomonadati; Pseudomonadota; Alphaproteobacteria; Hyphomicrobiales; Hyphomicrobiaceae. The record is from RNAcentral.